RNAcentral lists this transfer RNA (57 nucleotides) under Pseudoxenodon bambusicola. RNAcentral describes it as "tRNA-Ser". Lineage: Eukaryota; Metazoa; Chordata; Lepidosauria; Squamata; Pseudoxenodontidae. The record is from RNAcentral.
GAGGGCGACGUAAGACCUGCUAACUCUUUAACCCGGAAUUAAAAUCUGGCCCCCUCU